CAGAAAGUAGUUUAAGAAAAAUCUAGGUUUUGGAAAUCUAAGAUGCUCCAUCAGAGGUCUUUCUGA
Molecule: transfer RNA, 66 nt
Filed under: Armatobalanus allium
Lineage: Eukaryota; Metazoa; Arthropoda; Thecostraca; Balanomorpha; Balanidae
Description: tRNA-Pro
Source: RNAcentral